This is a long non-coding RNA of Mus musculus (house mouse), 1119 nucleotides long. RefSeq annotates it as predicted gene, 32243. The transcript is spliced from 3 exons. The record is from RefSeq and is a predicted model, not a curated record. Lineage: Eukaryota; Metazoa; Chordata; Mammalia; Rodentia; Muridae.
UAAACCAGAGAGACUGAGCAGCUUGCGUGUUCGUAAACUGGGUCACUUGUGAGCACACGGAACGAAGGGAGGGGAAAGGGGAGAGGGCAGUUUCCAAAGUAAUUUGUCUAUUUGUGAGGUUUUAUUCUGAAUGGACUUGAUUUGACCUUCUAGCUCUCAUGAUACAACCUUACACAUUCACACAGUCAAAGCUAUGAAUGGGUUACAUUCCUCCUAACGAAGGUGAUUACCUUAACACUCCAAUAGACUUCUGCGCGGAGGUUCCUUUAGCUCCUUCAAUCGACGGUGCAUCCUCAUAUGACUAAAAGAACACAAUGUGCAGAAAAACAUGAGCACUCUAAACUGCAGGAAAGAAGAAAAGAAAAUGCAUCACAAAAUAUUUUUUAAGGAUGGACACAUAGUCCCCAGUCUUCACAGCUUGUACUCACAUUGGAGGAACUGACAAACUCCAGUCUACCCAGACUUAGAGCAUCUCUGAGAUAUCAGAUCCUGUCUGGAAUGUGGGAAGAGAAUUCUGCAGGGGAGUCCAAGGAACCCAAACAUCAAUCCACAUAACGCUGCAGUCCAGCAAAUCUCACUACAGAGAAAAGUUCUGGGAAGAAUGAGUUGUCAGCAGACAUUUAGGGGAAACAACAUUGAUGUGGCCACAAAAAUAUCUUCAUAACUACCGGGUCAAGCAUUCUCUUUGAUUUUUACCAAGGGGAAAAUAUGUAUAUAUCUUCUGUCAGAAGAAAAGCUUGGAGUGAAUAAAUCAGUUCAAGCAGGAUGUACUGGGUGUCUACCAGCAUCAGACUCAAUGCCAGAUACUGCAUUGCACUAUCAGGAGGUCAGGAAAGGCUCAGGGAUGUCUACUCAAGUAAUAGCAUGACAGAAAAAAAAAUGUUCUAAUUUAAAAUAUAAAAUGCAUGCAUUCUUCCUCAUUCUGUUAUAUAAUAAGGCUCUGUAUACUUAAAAGCAACACAAGCAAAUAUACGACAUCUUCCUAUGUUCUUUCUCUACCACUAUCCUUCUCUCUUCCCUACUUUGUUCAUUUCUCUCACACCUUACCCCCUUUUCUUUCACUUUAUCUUAUUUCAUCCUUUUCAACUUCUUCCUCUUCCUCCUCUUAUGUUUCCCCUU